AACUUAGGGACCAGGACAAUUGAGGAUAGAAACUAAGAGAACAGCUUUAAAAAAAGUGUUUAGCUUAAUAAGCUAAAGCAUUUUGUUGAAGCCCCCUGGUGUUUUCACAGGGUCUGUAAAACAGCCAACAGAAGUGAAGAGCCAAUAGAUAACAUGGCAUCAUUUGAGUAAUGUACCUAAAUUAGACCCUUGCUUUGGAAGAUAUGGCUCUUUCAUUCUCCCUCGAGUCUGUCUGUUUGGUCUCCUGACAUUUUUUCUCUUGUAUCGUGCCUGUGCUUGGCUUCUGGCUUGUCUCGGGGGAUCGCAGAGGCUCUCCGGUUCAAUGAAACAUCCUGGUGGAGGGAGUCGAAUGUUUAGUGCUUGUGCUGGAUCCCGGCUGUCAAGUCCACUGAGGGCAGCUAUCUCUCAGGCAGACCUCGGCCAGCAUGCUCCUCUACAUAAUUCAUCAGGACAGGCAGGCCCACAUCUGCCAGUUCCACAGAGCCACUUGUUCUUCUUCAGUCUGCCCCUCAAGUACAUGAUGUGGUAACUAGGGUUUACACAAGCUCCAGUCUGGAUCCAGAACACCUGAGAAGAGAUGAUGCUGCCCCUCAGAAACCUCAGAUGAUGCUAACCCUGAAUCAACAAACAGAACUAACAAAUAUUGCUACAAGUGUGACUGCAUCAUAUAAUAAUUAUUAAUAAUAUUAAUAAUGUUCAUCGUCUGGCUGACUACGUCUUGUAUUAAUUUUUCUACAAAUCCUGUCCUACGUGCACAAACUGAAAUUUUCUGUAAAGUUGCUCUGUAACGAUUUGUAUUGUAAAAAGCGCCAUACAAAUAAACUUGAAUUGAAUUGAAGCCCCGACGAGGCAUGAUCAAGCCCCAGAAGUGACAGUGGAAAUGCGACUGGCCCUGGCACACACUAGCUGUCUGGUUUGAGCUCGACAGUGGAAACACGGCUAGUGACCCUCGGUGUCAGGCACCAAUGGCCUGGCUGACCAGCAAACUACAACAUUCUCACAAUACACACACAUAAAGACUUUGUAUUUAUUUAUUUAUUAAGUUUGUAUGUUUCCCUAUUAUAUUAGCCUAAUAACAGCCUAAUUAUUCUUUAUUUGUAUUAGUAAGUCUCUCAAU
This 1117-nucleotide long non-coding RNA is filed under the name Carassius auratus (goldfish). Its description in RNAcentral is "lncRNA (ENSCARG00000001956.1)". The record is from RNAcentral. Lineage: Eukaryota; Metazoa; Chordata; Actinopteri; Cypriniformes; Cyprinidae.